AGCGCUGCAACGGAGAGCAAUGAGACGGUGAAAGUCACUUCUGAUCAUCUCUUUGGGACUGCCAAAAUGAACGGCUUCUUAAAGAUGGCUUAUCUGCUGCUGCUGAAAGAACAGGAAGGUAAGCGCUGCAACGGAGAGCAAUGAGACGGUGAAAGUCACUUCUGAUCAUCUCUUUGGGACUGCCAAAAUGAACGGCUUCUUAAAAAUGGCUUAUCUGCUGCUGCUGAAAGUAACAGCAGAGGCCCUGAAUGCCACUGGGGACAGGGAAAUUGUGUUUCAUGCACAGGCCCCCCGGUUAGUCCAUCUCGGAUCUUCUCUGACACUCAACUGCAGCUUUGAUAUCAAGGAGCCAGACCAGGUCAGGGUGGACUGGUUGUUGGGAAAAACUCAGCAAUCAGAUGGCCAGGGACUCCAUAAGCUCUCUUCUGGCCUGGCCAAUGGGACAUGGGACCGGGAGACCAAGGGACCAGUCACUCAGUGGACAUCACAUACUUGGUCCAGCCUGACUCUGAGAGACAUUACAUCCAAUUACAGUGGAUGGUAUUUCUGUGAGGUUAGGAUGGAAAUUCCCCUGUAUACGCACAGCAGGAGCAGUGGCAUUGAAGUCAACAUCAUAACGUCCCCCUCCCCCGCAUCACCCCCGCGUGGGAAUACAGCCUGGUGGGUAUGGGUAAUGGUGGGUGUUGGAAGUCUCGUGCUCACUGCAGUCUCAGUUGGAAUACUAUGCAGGAGGACGAAAUGCCAGAAUAAAGAGAGUCCCAUCUAUGAGAACAUGCGUCCAGUGUGCAAGAGCACUGUCCCUCCCCAGCGUUCUCCACGCCCCAAAACAGAGCUCAUCCCCUCUCAUCUGCCCUCCUCCAUAGCCAUGGGAACACCCAAAAUGCUCUGAACACCUGGGUCCAGAACUGAGACCAGAACUGUAGACGGGCCCCUGUGGACCUGGGUCUUCGCAGAAGGACCUGUUAUACUACGCAUCAUCAGCUUCUGCACACACCCCUCUAUGUGCGAAACCUUUUCUAGGGCUCACAGUACAAAGCCCAGUGUUAAUGGAACUCAUACAGAGUUCAUAUGAGUGCAGUAGGGACCAUAUGUACUACUGUGAGAGUUUAUUUAACACUCAACACUUUACUGUGUGGUUUUCAGCACCCCUUGAGUCACCCAAGUUCCUAACUCCACCUUUCUGUUCGAGCUUUGUCGGAAGUUCUCAACCAUUGCAUUUACUGCCCACUUUAGUCAAUUAUCUUGAGCAUUUUACUUCAAGCUUAAUUUACUGAAUCAAUCCAUUUCAUGGCUGGUUGAAGCACAGAAAAUGGUCACGUCCUGCGGAACCGAGAAGAAAAGUUGAGAUCCUUGCCUAGUCCCGGGUCAUUUCCUUUUGGGACACUGCGUGGGAUCUCACUGACUUUAGGUUGUUGUACCUUUGUGCCCCACUAGGUAGCAAUCUACUAAAAGACCAAAACUAUGGGGAAGAUUAAUACCGUGAAUUUAAAGCGUGUAUUCCUUUAUCCCAUCGUCUAGCCACCAUAUUGUGCAAUUCGGUUUUUCUUUUGGAUGUUUGCCAGUUUUUGUGAUUUGUGCUGGUACAGGCAGUCUAAAGAUCUCUGCAUGAAUGUAGCUACACUCCUGUGCAUUAUCAAGAUUAUAUAUGUGUGUGUGUG
Long non-coding RNA from Conger conger (European conger), 1658 nucleotides. RefSeq lists it as uncharacterized. The record is from RefSeq and is a predicted model, not a curated record. Lineage: Eukaryota; Metazoa; Chordata; Actinopteri; Anguilliformes; Congridae. The transcript is spliced from 5 exons.